AUUGAACGCUGGCGGAAUGCUUUACACAUGCAAGUCGAACGGUAGAGGGGGCAACCCCUCGAGAGUGGCGAACGGGUGAGUAAUAUAUCGGAACGUGCCCAGUCGUGGGGGAUGACGUAGCGAAAGUUACGCUAAUACCGCAUACGAUCUAAGGAUGAAAGCAGGGGAUCGCAAGACCUCGCGCGAUUGGAGCGGCCGAUAUCAGAUUAGGUAGUUGGUGGGGUAAAGGCUCACCAAGCCAACGAUCUGUAGCUGGUCUGAGAGGACGACCAGCCACACUGGAACUGAGACGCGGUCCAGACUCCUACGGGAGGCAGCAGUGGGGAAUUUUGGACAAUGGACGCAAGUCUGAUCCAGCCAUUCCGCGUGCAGGAUGAAGGCCCUCGGGUUGUAAACUGCUUUUGUACGGAACGAAAAGGUCUCUCUUAAUACGGGGGGCUCAUGACGGUACCGUAAGAAUAAGCACCGGCUAACUACGUGCCAGCCGCCGCCGUAA
RNAcentral lists this ribosomal RNA (496 nucleotides) under uncultured bacterium. Its description in RNAcentral is "partial 16S ribosomal RNA". It matches the Rfam family "Bacterial small subunit ribosomal RNA", at positions 30 to 523 of the family's 1533-position model. The record is from RNAcentral.